Molecule: ribosomal RNA, 236 nt
Filed under: Acidobacteriota bacterium
Lineage: Bacteria; Pseudomonadati; Acidobacteriota
Description: partial 23S ribosomal RNA
Rfam family: Bacterial large subunit ribosomal RNA
Source: RNAcentral
UAGUACGAGAGGACCGGGAUGGAUCCACCUCUAGUGUACGAGUUAUGGCGCCAGCCGUAGCGCUCGGUAGCUAUGUGGAGCAUGGAUAAACGCUGAAUGCAUCUAAGCGUGAAGCCAGACCCAAGAUUAAUUCUGCCAGUGAGACUCGUCGUAGACCACGACGUUAAUAGGGUGGAUAUGUAAGUGCAGUAAUGUGCUCAGUUGACCACUACUAAUCAGUCCCUUGGCUUGACCAU